CCUAGGGGCGGCAGCAGUGGGGAAUAUUGGACAAUGGGCGAAAGCCUGAUCCAGCCAUGCCGCGUGUGUGAAGAAGGCCUUCGGGUUGUAAAGCACUUUCAGUGGGGAAGAAAGCCUUGGGGCUAAUACCCUCGAGGAAGGACAUCACCCACAGAAGAAGCACCGGCUAACUCCGUGCCAGCAGCCGCGGUAAUACGGAGGGUGCGAGCGUUAAUCGGAAUUACUGGGCGUAAAGCGCGCGUAGGCGGUCUGAUAAGCCGGUUGUGAAAGCCCCGGGCUCAACCUGGGAACGGCAUCCGGAACUGUCAGGCUAGAGUGCAGGAGAGGAAGGUAGAAUUCCCGGUGUAGCGGUGAAAUGCGUAGAGAUCGGGAGGAAUACCAGUGGCGAAGGCGGCCUUCUGGACUGACACUGACGCUGAGGUGCGAAAGCGUGGGUAGCAAACAGGAUUAGAUACCCGUGUAGUC
RNAcentral lists this ribosomal RNA (465 nucleotides) under Vreelandella stevensii. RNAcentral's name for it is "partial 16S ribosomal RNA". It matches the Rfam family "Bacterial small subunit ribosomal RNA", at positions 338 to 795 of the family's 1533-position model. The record is from RNAcentral. Lineage: Bacteria; Pseudomonadati; Pseudomonadota; Gammaproteobacteria; Oceanospirillales; Halomonadaceae.